RNAcentral lists this ribosomal RNA (483 nucleotides) under uncultured bacterium. RNAcentral describes it as "partial 16S ribosomal RNA". It matches the Rfam family "Bacterial small subunit ribosomal RNA", at positions 28 to 507 of the family's 1533-position model. The record is from RNAcentral.
GACGAACGCUGGCGGCGUGCUUAACACAUGCAAGUCGAACGCUGAAGCUCAGCUUUUGUUGGGUGGAUGAGUGGCGAACGGGUGAGUAACACGUGAGUAACCUGCCCCCUUCUUUGGGAUAACGCCCGGAAACGGGUGCUAAUACUGGAUAUUCACUGGUCUUCGCAUGGGGGUUGGUGGAAAGGGUUUUUCUGGUGGGGGAUGGGCUCGCGGCCUAUCAGCUUGUUGGUGGGGUGAUGGCCUACCAAGGCUUUGACGGGUAGCCGGCCUGAGAGGGUGACCGGUCACAUUGGGACUGAGAUACGGCCCAGAAUCCUACGGGAGGCAGCAGUGGGGAAUAUUGCACAAUGGGCGCAAGCCUGAUGCAGCGACGCCGCGUGAGGGAUGGAGGCCUUCGGGUUGUGAACCUCUUUCGCUCAUGGUCAAGCCGCAACAAUGGUUGUGGUGAGGGUAGUGGGUAAAGAAGCGCCGGCUAACUACGUG